AUGUCGCCUUUUCUUCAGCCCCGAGCAGCCGUGCCGCCAGAGCUCGCGAACCUUGCCGCCACCUCGACUCCUCCGUGUCCGGGACAUCAGGACGUCGCCGGCAUGCGGAACGAAGCCGCCCCAACUGGAUCCACGCCCUCCGCCAUCGCCCGCUCUCCCGCCAUUCUUCCUCACCUCGAAUUGGUUGCACCGGUAGCCGUCGUUGCCAGAUCCUACCUUGGUCGCCCGCUGGAAGAUCCAGCACCCUAUGCAUUGCCACAUCGCGCCUCUCACCGUCGAGGGCGGCAGGAACGACGGAGUCGUGCAUGUGUCGGCUCCUAUGUGGUGCGUGCGGAGCCACUAGCUCGUGGAACAGCUGCAGGCCUGGAGCACCCCUACCUCGAGCGGCACUCAUGCAUGGUUGGUGGUCGAGACAUCAUAGGAGCUUCAGCAGAGAAACAAGGCCGCCGAGCCAAAUUUGCUGAACCAGGCUACCAAGUUUGAGGUAAAAAAACUCAGCAGGGAAGUAUCUAUCCUGAAUUUUCUGCACUACAUAAAUUUACCCAUAGAAUAUAUCUCUAAUAGUACCCUGUCCAAAAUGUUAGUGCUAUUUCUGCAAUUUUGCAAGCCGAAUUUGUGCCAAGUGCAUUGCUUAAUAUAUCUCUAAUAGUAUAUGUCCAUUGCUAUUUCCGAGAUCUUCCAUCAAUUUCUAUUACAACAGAAAAAUGAUCCCUGUCAACAUAUAUAGUAUGCACUGGGAAAUCAUGAUUCAUGGGCAGCUGAUAUAUACAAUGGUUGAUAACAAUUACUUUAGGGUCUCCAUUCUACUAUUUUUUUACAUACUCAACAAAUUUGUGACAUCUUAUCUGGUAGAGAAAACAGUCCGAGAUAUUCUAUUCUUACCUACACAUAAUUCCGUAUUGAUGACUUAGCAUUCAACAUGAUUCAGUUUCUAGCUUGUAUACAUUAGUAUUAUUAUGAGCCACCUAAAAAGUUUUUGGGCUUUUAGUUUCAGUUAUAGUCAUGGACUGGGCACAAUUCACAGAAUAAGAAAAUGUAUCAAGCAUUAACUUUAUAUGCGUGAAGCAUUUUAUAAUGAAACGUUAUUCAGAUCUCUCUUUCAGAUCUCUCUUACAGAUCUCUCUUACAUGAAAAUUCUAAACAUUAUUCAGUACUGAGGACCAAAUUUAGAAAAUUCUAAACGAGUGGUGAGUUCAAUCAGGUGAAAAAUUGUAGGUCGAACAUGAAAGGAUGCACAUUCGUUUUUGAAGUUGAAAAUAACGUUUCAUGAAGCAAACUUGAGGUAUCAAUCAUGUCUCACUUUUUUUAUUUGUAUAAUUGGUUGACAUAUGAGAUGCCUUAGGCUGUCUCACAAUGAUACUCAUGAUUUUUUGCUGUGCAAAAAAAUACCUGCAGUACAAGAAAUUAUAAGAAGUACAUAGCAUCAAAACGAAACCAUCGUUGCUUUUUUUGGAUGGAAAUAGGUGAGAUCUAUUAAGCAAUAAUAGGUUAGGAAUGAUGGUUGCUGAUAACUAUACAUUUUUAUGGAUAGUCAUAUACCUGGAUGUCAUCCUUCAAACACGAAUACCUGAAUUCUUAUAGCACAUAAAUGAUAUUGUUUAGUUCUCCUUUCUAGAGUCUCUUUUGCGUCAUGGUAUAUCUGCUAUCGAGAAUGAUGCUCAGAAAAUUCUUCGUUCCAUGCCAAAUGACAUUUUGUUUCGACUUGAUAACACCAGGUAACAUGGUGGAUGUCGCAAUACACAACAGUUAAACUGUAGCGACAUAGAUAUAUGAAAGGGCAAAUCAUCUUAGCUAUAGUGUAUGGAAAAAAGAGCAUAGAUUAAUGAUGCUGAGAGCUAGCUCUUUCCGCAUUAUCAUCUAUCUAUAGCUUUCAAGGACCAGUAAUUGUACGAUUGUAUCAUGUGAUUGGUACUACAAAAUUGACAAUCUUUGUGUAUUAAUAUCUUAAUUUCAAGAUGAAUUGGAGAAGGGAGUCUGCUCUACAUUUUCUAAUCUGUCAGUCAAUGUGUAAAUCUGGUAUUGAUGUACAGUUAUUAAUAAAGUUUUCUUUUACAGAUAUUCUGCUAAUGAUAGGAAGCGUGGUUUAAAACUGCUCUGGCUGGAGUUGUAUGCUUUGUGACUGAAGACUAGAGCUUGGUGUCAUGGUGACUUGCAGCCACUCCUGAUGGUCCUACCACCCAGCUUUUACUCUCUCGAAUUUCCUUAUUUUCAUAUUAACACUGCUAUUAGGGUCAAUAUAUGUUGUUUACUGCUCUAAUCAAGCUAUUGCUAGGAUUCCAUGUUUCCUACAUUGUAUUAUGCUGAUCAUUAGUAAUUCAACCUACAUUGUAUUAUACUGGUCAUUAGUGGAAUGUUGAUUCUGUGAUAAUCUUAAUACAUCCAUGGUUGUUGAGGAAAUAGGGAAAAUGUAUAAACUGGUGAAAUAUCACACAUUAACCUCCUCUUAGAUCUGAACUAAGAUCAUAUGGGUUCGGCCGUGCAUGUCCAUACAUAGUGCGUCAGGUUAAUGUGCCUGAAGCGUAAGGACUCAUGACAUAUUAACGAAGUGCACAUGUUGAGUUAAAAAGUGUACAUUUGUUUUUUCUAUUACGGAACAUUUGACAAUGUUUUGUUUUGAUCUUAAUCAAAAUGGUACAGAAGCAAGUCAAGGUUUAGUUACUGUAAUUUUACUUACUGUAAUUUCCACUCUGUUCUCUACAAGAAAAAUAAAUUAUGGAUAAAUUGCAGUGAUAAGCUAUCAAAAAGAGACGUACAUUUACUUAUAUUGCUCAAUAUUCAAUUGAUCGAUUAGUUUUUAGUUACAAAAGUGUGAUGUUUCAAAACUGAAAAACGAAAUAUUGGUUUAGUACCUAAUUACAAAACACAACUAAGCAUGGAAAUAAGUAGCUAAUUGUUUUGGCGUCACCUACUUAUGUAAUAUCUGUUCCCGUAUGCACAUUUCUUUCUAUUUUUCAGUUAUGUGACAUGAUUGUCUGAAGUUUAAUGCAACCCUCGAGAUGUUUCUUGACUAAAUGUCUAAAUUCAGUGCAACUAGGAUUUUCUCUAUGAGGUUGCAUCAGUAUAUUAUACUGGGCUUUUGAUUCAAAUACGAAUUUCUCCAACUAUGUUUUGUGCUCGGUGUAGUCUCUUCCUCGCAUUGGGGAAUUCAGAUGGUUAUCAGAAUCAAUUGGGGCAUGCUCUCAACAACAUCACUAUUCACAUGGUUGAGGUGGCAGAGCAGCUAAGCCAGACGGUGACCUCGCCCUGGAGAUGGAGGCGAGCCGCAGAGGGCCUUGCUACGGCAUUGUGAAGGAAAUCAAUAAUUACUUAUUUCCAGUUUGUUGUUUUAUAAUCGGUAGCACCUGUAUUUACUCAAUAAACGAGAAAGUCCGAUGCAUUGCUCAUGAUCCCCUUUUGUGGGGUUGUAAUCUUGAUGAAGAAAGAAAUGUAUAUUUGCGUUGUAAAAUGUUUCUUUGCCCUUUGGUGGUCUGGCCAUGCAAAACACUCAAUUAUUAAUGAGCAUAUUUUCUCCUCGCUACUACACAACAUAUGUUGCUUUACUUUGGUGUUGUUAACCAAGCUCUUCUCAACUGAGCUGAGAGCAUGCCGAAUUUAAUAAAAAAUCCAAUACUGAUUUGAUUCAGAAGCAUUUAGGAAGUGCAUACAAUUUGAUGAGCAUGGCAAUUCUCAAAGUGUAUUUUUUAAAUUUCUUCAAUUGCAUUCAUGUGUGAUAAAAAUUUGGAGUUUGUUUAUGAUGAUAUUAUUACUAGCCCGUGCAGGUGCACGGGUGGGUGUGCCCAAUAUUGUGACUGGGACAAUGUGGUGGAGACAAAUUACCAGACUAUAUAUGAUCACAUGUUAACAACGAUUAUUUAUCCUUCCAAGCCUGCAGUCUGACCAAGGUGUUAAGAGUAAGGACCCUCCAACUAAUGUCUUUAUAUACCAUGGAUGUGACAUUUC
Long non-coding RNA from Triticum aestivum (bread wheat), 3939 nucleotides. RefSeq lists it as uncharacterized. NCBI's taxonomy places the organism in Eukaryota, Viridiplantae, Streptophyta, Magnoliopsida, Poales, Poaceae. The record is from RefSeq and is a predicted model, not a curated record. The transcript is spliced from 3 exons.